UAGGGAAUCUUCGGCAAUGGGCGGAAGUCUGACCGAGCAACGCCGCGUGAGUGAAGAAGGUUUUCGGAUCGUAAAGCUCUGUUGUAAGAGAAGAACGAGUGUGAGAGUGGAAAGUUCACACUGUGACGGUAUCUUACCAGAAAGGGACGGCUAACUACGUGCCAGCAGCCGCGGUAAUACGUAGGUCCCGAGCGUUGUCCGGAUUUAUUGGGCGUAAAGCGAGCGCAGGCGGUUAGAUAAGUCUGAAGUUAAAGGCUGUGGCUUAACCAUAGUAGGCUUUGGAAACUGUUUAACUUGAGUGCAAGAGGGGAGAGUGGAAUUCCAUGUGUAGCGGUGAAAUGCGUAGAUAUAUGGAGGAACACCGGUGGCGAAAGCGGCUCUCUGGCUUGUAACUGACGCUGAGGCUCGAAAGCGUGGGGAGCAAACAGGAUUAGAUACCCUGGUAGUCCACGCUGUAAACGAUGAGUGCUAGGUGUUAGACCCUUUCCGGGGUUUAGUGCCGUAGCUAACGCAUUAAGCACUCCGCCUGGGGAGUACGACCGCAAGGUUG
RNAcentral lists this ribosomal RNA (550 nucleotides) under uncultured bacterium. RNAcentral describes it as "bacterial SSU rRNA". It matches the Rfam family "Bacterial small subunit ribosomal RNA", at positions 355 to 896 of the family's 1533-position model. The record is from RNAcentral.